Molecule: ribosomal RNA, 468 nt
Filed under: uncultured bacterium
Lineage: Bacteria
Description: partial 16S ribosomal RNA
Rfam family: Bacterial small subunit ribosomal RNA
Source: RNAcentral
GACGAACGCUGGCGGCGUGCUUAACACAUGCAAGUCGAACGGAAAGGCCCUGCUUUUGUGGGGUGCUCGAGUGGCGAACGGGUGAGUAACACGUGAGUAACCUGCCCUUGACUUUGGGAUAACUUCAGGAAACUGGGGCUAAUACCGGAUAGGAGCUCCUGCUGCAUGGUGGGGGUUGGAAAGUUUCGGCGGUUGGGGAUGGACUCGCGGCUUAUCAGCUUGUUGGUGGGGUAGUGGCUUACCAAGGCUUUGACGGGUAGCCGGCCUGAGAGGGUGACCGGCCACAUUGGGACUGAGAUACGGCCCAGACUACUACGGGAGGCAGCAGUGGGGAAUAUUGCACAAUGGGCGGAAGCCUGAUGCAGCAACGCCGCGUGCGGGAUGACGGCCUUCGGGUUGUAAACCGAUUUCGCCUGUGACGAAGCGUGAGUGACGGUAAUGGGUAAAGAAGCACCGGCUAACUACGUG